GCGUGUUUCCGGGCAAGAGAACGGUACUGAAUUCAGUGUAGGUCUGCAUGAAAUCCUUUACAGAGCCACAGACUCAUUCGGAAGUGACCAUUGUUUGGUAUUGUUUGCAGUAAGAAGUCGCUGUAGUGAUCUCCCUUCUCCAGACAAUGGUUAUUUCGAAUGUACAAACGAUUAUGGAGAAGGUUCAGUGUGCAUUUUGAAAUGUUUGAACGAAUUUAGACCAAAUGUUUUGCAGCCAGUUUCCUGUGAAAAAACGUUGAACUGGUCUCAAUCCGUGAUUAACGAGAAAUGCUAUGAUGUUUGUCGACCCUUCAUUAGAAAAUACCC
This is a long non-coding RNA of Saccostrea cuccullata (small rock oyster), 327 nucleotides long. RefSeq lists it as uncharacterized. The transcript is spliced from 3 exons. The record is from RefSeq and is a predicted model, not a curated record. NCBI's taxonomy places the organism in Eukaryota, Metazoa, Mollusca, Bivalvia, Ostreida, Ostreidae.